GGUGCUCGUAGAUCAGCUCGACCGCAGGGUGGUCGUAGACCAGGGUGGUCGUAGAUCAGCUCGACCACCGGGAGAGAGUGGUCGUAGAUCAGCUAGCUCAGCCGUUGCUUCUUUGGUCGUAGAUCAGCUAGCGCGCUCUGGAGUUGCUUGGUUCUUCGCUUGCUCUGCAGUACGAGCCUCAUACAGAGCCGCGCCCCUUUAAUAUGAUGAGAAGAAGAGGGGCCGCCCUCUUUUCUUUUCCGCACCAAUCCUUAAAAACUACUACAUCUUUUUUUGGGUGUAUAGCUCAGUUGGUAGAGCAUUGGGCUUUUAACCUAAUGGUCGCAGGUUCAAGUCCUGCUAUACCCAAACCUACCUUACACUCUACUAUGAGUAAGGCUGGCUUGAAAGCCUCGUUCAAAGAUCACUCUUUGGCCUUUAGACUCGCUUCGGCGACUUCGCUCGUUGGGUGAGGUAAGGAGUAGUAUCAGAGUGGCUCGGUCAUCGAUAGGCCUCUCCUUAUUCAUUCUAUAGGGCGGGGCUGCGGACCAACAAUCCAGCAAACAACGGCCCUACUACAACACAAAGGGGCCUUUUGGCCCGCCAUUUAGAGUAAGUAAAGCGCUAACGCCCGUUUAUAUAGCGGUAGGCCUUUUCUUGCUGGGGCGCGCUAGCGCCCUUUGUAUAUAUUAGUAAAGCCUUUUCUUCGCUGGCUUCGCUAGGUUGGGCGCUAGCGGGGCGCAGGAGCGCCCAACCUAGGUUAGGGGUUUUCUACGCUGGUACUGAUCCGAGUUUUUGAUAAUUACUG
This is a long non-coding RNA of Telopea speciosissima, 787 nucleotides long. RefSeq lists it as uncharacterized. The record is from RefSeq and is a predicted model, not a curated record. NCBI's taxonomy places the organism in Eukaryota, Viridiplantae, Streptophyta, Magnoliopsida, Proteales, Proteaceae. The transcript has 2 exons.